This 207-nucleotide ribosomal RNA is filed under the name uncultured bacterium. RNAcentral describes it as "partial 16S ribosomal RNA". It matches the Rfam family "Bacterial small subunit ribosomal RNA", at positions 568 to 774 of the family's 1533-position model. The record is from RNAcentral.
CGCGUAGGCGGUUUGGUAAGUCGGAUGUGAAAUCCCCGGGCUCAACCUGGGAAUUGCAUUCGAUACUGCUUGACUAGAGUAUGGUAGAGGGAAGUGGAAUUUCAGGUGUAGCGGUGAAAUGCGUAGAUAUCUGAAGGAACAUCAGUGGCGAAGGCGACUUCCUGGGCCAAUACUGACGCUGAGGUGCGAAAGCGUGGGGAGCAAACA